Molecule: long non-coding RNA, 632 nt
Organism: Bos taurus (domestic cattle)
Lineage: Eukaryota; Metazoa; Chordata; Mammalia; Artiodactyla; Bovidae
Source: Ensembl
AAAAGAAUACCGCACUGUUGAAUCUAAUCCCAACAAACCUGUUAUGUAGUUAGUUUCAGCUCCAUUUCUGUGAGUGAGAAAACCAGGGCCUGAAGUCCUGGAGUUGAACUCCUGGAGUUUAAAUGCCUGAAGCUCCCUACAAGCACGGAGCCUCACACCUCGUGGCUGUGUCCUCAGAGCACUCUGCCCUUUGGAGUAGUGCUGGGGGCACUUAGCCCCCAGCUGAGUUCUCCCUCAUCAUGCCCCAGCUCCACCUACCAGCCGGAGACUCACCAUGCCACUUCCCAGGGGCUACUCGACCCUGUUUCUUCACGCAAAGCAGCAAAAUUGCCAGAAGAACCAGCUGAGAAAUUUGCAUUUCAUGGACUUGCAAAAGAAGACCAACGUAAAGACAAACAUACAAAGGUACCUAGCCUUUUGAGUCUGAGCCGCUCUGAGGAUGGGAGGGAGAAAGGUGCUGAGAGGAGCCUGCAGAUGACUUGUUCAGCCCACUCGGAUCUCACCGUGGAGGAGGUGGCCCAAAAGAGAUUCCGGGAGAGGCCAGAAGUACAGUCGGUGCAGCAGAGGAGUAUUGCUGCCACUGCCCAGAAGAUAUGGAUUCCAGGAGGAAGGACAGAGCCCUGAUUGGUUCU